GAUGAACGCUGGCGGCGUGCCUAAUACAUGCAAGUCGAGCGAACGGACGAGAAGCUUGCUUCUCUGAUGUUAGCGGCGGACGGGUGAGUAACACGUGGAUAACCUACCUAUAAGACUGGGAUAACUUCGGGAAACCGGAGCUAAUACCGGAUGAUAUUUUGAACCGCAUGGUUCAAAAGUGAAAGACGGUCUUGCUGUCACUUAUAGAUGGAUCCGCGCUGCAUUAGCUAGUUGGUAAGGUAACGGCUUACCAAGGCAACGAUGCAUAACCGACCUGAGAGGGUGAUCGGCCACACGGGAACUGAGACACGGUCCAGACUCCUACGGGAGGCAGCAGUAGGGAAUCUUCCGCAAUGGGCGAAAGCCUGACGGAGCAACGCCGCGUGAGUGAUGAAGGUCUUCGGAUCGUAAAACUCUGUUAUUAGGGAAGAACAUAUGUGUAAGUAACUGUGCACAUCUUGACGGUACCUAAUCAGAAAGCCACGGCUAACUACGUG
Molecule: ribosomal RNA, 497 nt
Filed under: uncultured bacterium
Lineage: Bacteria
Description: partial 16S ribosomal RNA
Rfam family: Bacterial small subunit ribosomal RNA
Source: RNAcentral